AGAUCCCAUGGCGUAUAUUAAAGUUGUUGUGGGUGAAAAGCUCGUAGUUGGACUCUUGCUGAGGACGGCCUGUCCGCCCUCUGGGUGGUUUUCUGGCUUGGCCUGGGCAUCCUCUUGGAGAACGUAGCUGCCCUUGAUUGUGUGUUGCAGUAUCCAGGACUUUUACUUUGAGGGAAUUAGAGCCUUUCACGCAGGCAUGCACCUUGAAUACAUUCGCAUGGAAUAGUAAGAUAGGUCCUUGGUUCUAUUCUUCUGGUUUCUAGAGCUGAGGUAAUGAUUCAUAGGGAUAGUUGGGGGCAUUCGUAUUAGAUUGUCAGCGGUGAAAUUGUUGGAUUUGUCAAAGAGGGACUACUGCACAAGCAUUUGCUAAGGAUGCUUUUCA
RNAcentral lists this ribosomal RNA (382 nucleotides) under uncultured eukaryote. RNAcentral describes it as "SSU rRNA". It matches the Rfam family "Eukaryotic small subunit ribosomal RNA", at positions 587 to 973 of the family's 1831-position model. The record is from RNAcentral.